UAGCUGUAGCUUAAUGGUAAAGCGAAUGACUGUUAAUCAUUUAACAGAGGUUCGAUUCCUCUCAGUUA
Molecule: non-coding RNA, 68 nt
Organism: Endogone sp. FLAS-F59071
Lineage: Eukaryota; Fungi; Mucoromycota; Endogonomycetes; Endogonales; Endogonaceae
Source: the annotation of a GenBank genome assembly